AGUUUGAGAGUGAACCCUUUUGACGAACCUUGCUUGAUUACAAUAUCGAAAUAAUUGAAAUAAUUUCAUAAUUCCUUUUAAUUUCUUACUCGAAACAAGGACAAUAACAAAGAUAUGGAUAAAAAUAAUACUAUUCAUUUACUAACCUCUCAAAGUCAUUGUGCUACAAAAUUUAACGAAAAAUUUCUGCCAUAUGUACUCUGCCCACUCCAUUCUUACUUCAUCAAUAUCCUUUUAGGUGCAACUGUCUCGUCCAACAAACUAUAUAUCAUACACAAAAUAGUCAAUAUUAAUACAUGCAUCAACGUUAUGAAAUCUAUAAACUUUAAAAGGAUAAGGAAAUGACUACCACAUUUUUUUAUUGAAUCAUCAUGGCUUUCAAUAAUUUGCUUCAUAAACCUAAUGACAUAAUAUCCACAUUCAACAUCUGUAGUUUGUUGAGGACACUGCACAAGAAUUUUGAACUAAUUAAUGUCAUGUGCAUAUGUAAAGAAAUUUAAACU
This 503-nucleotide long non-coding RNA is filed under the name Citrus sinensis (sweet orange). RNAcentral describes it as "long non-coding RNA (CSIN_LNC005835)". Lineage: Eukaryota; Viridiplantae; Streptophyta; Magnoliopsida; Sapindales; Rutaceae. The record is from RNAcentral.